Molecule: ribosomal RNA, 435 nt
Filed under: Labyrinthulomycetes sp.
Lineage: Eukaryota; Bigyra
Description: SSU rRNA
Rfam family: Eukaryotic small subunit ribosomal RNA
Source: RNAcentral
GGGAUCGAAGAUGAUUAGAUACCAUCGUAGUCCUAGCCAUAAACGAUGCCGACUCGGGAUCCUGAAUCGUUAUUUUUAUGACUUUCGGGGCACCGUAUGAGAAAUCAAAGUCUUUGGGUUCCGGGGGGAGUAUGGUCGCAAGGCUGAAACUUAAAGGAAUUGACGGAAGGGCACACCAGGAGUGGAGCCUGCGGCUUAAUUUGACUCAACACGGGAAAACUCACCAGGUCCAGACAAAGUAAGGAUUGACAGAUUGAGAGCUCUUUCUUGAUUCUUUAGGUGGUGGUGCAUGGCCGUUCUUAGUUAGUGGAGUGAUUUGUCUGGUUAAUUCCGAUAACGAACGAGACCCCAACCUGCUAACUAGACUGCGUUAUCUUCUCGAUAGCUCAGCGCUUCUUAGAGGGACAUUUCGGAUUUACCGGAAGGAAGUUUGUG